Molecule: long non-coding RNA, 511 nt
Filed under: Sinocyclocheilus anshuiensis
Lineage: Eukaryota; Metazoa; Chordata; Actinopteri; Cypriniformes; Cyprinidae
Description: lncRNA (ENSSANG00000014294.1)
Source: RNAcentral
AUGAGUUAUGAGUAUGAAGAAUACAAUUUUGCUACCUUUACCUGUUUUUCAUCCUAGUCCCAGUUCCAGAGCCAGACGCUCAGCUGGCCUCCACCUUUCCUCCAACGUUUGUGAAAGAAUGUCUUGGAACUUGGUUCUGCAGUGCAGUUUCACCUCAGCUUUACUGCCGUUCCAACAAGAUGUGACUUGGUACAGAGACGGGCUGGUGUUGUUGCGUCAGUCCAGUCGUGUGGAGCUGCAGACGGGUCUGCGAUCUGCCAGUCUCAGCCUGAAGCGAGUGCACAAGGAACAUGAAGGCCUGUACAGCAUCCGUCUGUGCACCUGGGACGGGACCGUCGGGCACAGCUCCUACGUCUAUGUCAAAGAACAAUAGUCAACCAGGCAGGCGUGGGCCGCCCGUUUAAACCCACCGACCCCGUCCUGACCUCUGAACCCCUGGAGCCCAGCAGGACUACGGGUAAGAGCGUCUACAUGAGUUCUGAAUAAAGUCUUUUCUAUGAUACUAGCAGCA